RNAcentral lists this ribosomal RNA (425 nucleotides) under uncultured bacterium. RNAcentral describes it as "partial 16S ribosomal RNA". It matches the Rfam family "Bacterial small subunit ribosomal RNA", at positions 354 to 796 of the family's 1533-position model. The record is from RNAcentral.
GUGGGGAAUCUUAGACAAUGGGGGAAACCCUGAUCUAGCCAUGCCGCGUGAGCGAUGAAGGCCUUAGGGUUGUAAAGCUCUUUCAGCUGGGAAGAUAAUGACGGUACCAGCAGAAGAAGCCCCGGCUAACUCCGUGACAGCAGCCGCGGUAAUACGGAGGGGGCUAGCGUUGUUCGGAAUUACUGGGCGUAAAGCGCGCGUAGGUGGACCAGAAAGUUGGAGGUGAAAUCCCAGGGCUCAACCUUGGAACUGCCUUCAAAACUCCUGGUCUGGAGUUCGAGAGAGGUGAGUGGAAUUCCGAGUGUAGAGGUGAAAUUCGUAGAUAUUCGGAGGAACACCAGUGGCGAAGGCGGCUCACUGGCUCGAUACUGACGCUGAGGUGCGAAAGCGUGGGGAGCAAACAGGAUUAGAAACCCUGGUAGUCC